This 3843-nucleotide long non-coding RNA is filed under the name Vigna radiata. RNAcentral's name for it is "long non-coding RNA (VRAD_LNC000205)". Lineage: Eukaryota; Viridiplantae; Streptophyta; Magnoliopsida; Fabales; Fabaceae. The record is from RNAcentral.
GGUUAACAUACAGUGAGAAAUAAUGAAUGCAUUAAGCAGUGUUCGUUCAAUAUCAGUAGCCUUUGUUUUUCUGCUGAUAAUCAGCUUCACUUUCAUUGCACAGAUUACUCCAGUCAAUGCAGGUUGGUAUAUAUUCUCCUCAGACACAAAAUAUAUGAAUUGUUGUAACAGUUUAACAACAUUCCGUGAUCUUGCUUAAUUUGCAGAUCUGGUUAUGAGAAAAUUGGGUACUAUGAAAAGUCCACCUCCUCCACCCAUUGUUGGCAAGCCACCGAAACCUGCACUACCACCUCCUAAUAGUCAACCUCGUCAUCCUCCAUCCAUGCCCUAACUGUUCAUGAUCUUCGCAAGUUGCAAUACAUUACAAUAUAUUAUCACGAUGAGAGAUAUAAAUGAGUUCAAAUUGUAUGGAAUAAAUGAGAUUCUGAUGUUAUACAAGUAUGAAGCUAUAUUAUAGUUGAUAACAACUUAAAGGAAAGAAUAAAGAUUAUAUAAACUUCAAUUUUAAGAAUUUCUUAAAAUCUUAUUUUAUUAAUUUUGACUUUAGUAAUAAUUGGUUUGAUUUGGAUAAAGAUAAAAUAAAUAUAGAUAUGUUUGAUUUUAAGUUAGUUAAUAUUUUAUUUUUAAUUUUUAUUUAUUUGGAUGUGAAGAUUUAAUGAAAAAGUAUCUAAUUUAAAAAGUUAACUUAUUUGUGUAGAUUCACGUCCUUUUACAUUAUUUAUACCAAUAAUCCAUUUACAUUUUAGUAACUAUAACCAACGAUUCAUAGUUAAACAUCCUUAAUUUAGUAGUUUGGGAAUUAUGAACUUUUAAAGUUUUCUAAAAUAUUUGUGAAUGAUAAAAACAUUUUAAAAAUCCUAUAAUGCAUCCUAAAGGACUUGGUCUAACAUUCUUCUUUAUUCAGUUAGAAAACCUACAUCCUUCAAAUUUUAUCAAAAUAUGUAAAUGGAAUCUCUCUCUCUCUCUCUCUCUCUCUCUCUCUAUAUAUAUAUAUAUAUAUAUAUAUAUAUAUAUAUAUAUAAUUGGGGAUUAAAUUAUUCAUAUUACUUCUACAUAUAUUAAUUAUAUACUUAAAUUCAGAUAUUGAGAUCAUUUAAAAAUAUUUAUUUAUUAUUAAAUAAAAAUUACAAUUAUAAGUUGAGAGUAUAACAAUUGUUAACCAUGUAAGAUUCCAUUUUUCCUUAUAAAUAUAGUUUGUUAAACUUGUAUAUGCAAGAAAAUAUUAGUCUAUAGAAAUUAGUCAGAAUUCGUGAAUUUAUUCUAUAAAUAAAAGUUGCUUUGAUGGUUAGCCGACGUAUUUUUCUUAUUUUAUUCGGGUUUUCGAGUUGGGAGCAAAAGUAGGAUAUGAGAAUAUGUAAAUAAAGUUUUUCAUAAUAUGUUUUAAAAGGAAACAAAAAAUAAGUUUCUCCUUGAACGAAAAGUAAGUUAUUUUCAAGUUAUAAAAAAAUUGAAAAUGUCAAAGAACUAAAUGAAAAUGUUUUGUAAAUUAAUUUGUGUAUGAGUUAAUAAUGUAAUAAUUUAAGAAUACAAAACCAACAAUACCAUGUUUUACAAGUUUUUAAUAUUUAAAAUACACGUAAAAAUCAAACAUAUCGUAAUAUUUAAAUUUAAAUUUAAAUUUUAUCCAAUAAACAACAUUCUUUGAAAAUGUCAAGUUUUUCUUAAAAGAAAAUGAUAAAUAUUUUAUAUUUUUAUUUUUUGGGAAACCAAAUAAAAAUGAUAUUUAAAAGAAAAAAUAGCUGACACACUAUGUACUAAUUCAAUAUAAAUUAUUUUUUAGCUAUAAUUGUAAGAACACUAUAUGAAUUCACGGAUUUCAAGUUUAACUACAAGUCCAAUACGUUCCACAUAGAAUAAGAUUUUAAACAUAGCAUACAAGGUUCCUACGUCAUACUAAUUAAAGUGGUUUGUUAGUCCAGCAAUUUAGUUUUUGUUUUAUCAAAUAACAUAAAUUUCAAAUCAAGUUUGAUUUGGUUCAAUUUAUAAUUAAUUUAGAAUAUAUGAAUUAAAUCAAAUUAAUAUUUAUUACUAAAUUUUACUUUUUAUUUUUACAAUUUUGUUAUUAUAAAGUUAUUAAACAACUUUAUUAAAAAAAUUAAAAUAUUUAAUAAUGAAAAAUAUACUAUUUUCUUUUUUAUUAUAAUUGUUUAGAAUAAAAUCUUUCCCAAGAUCAAGAUGUCACAAUAAAUCAGAUUAUUUGUUAAAUAUUCUAGGCAUGGGUAUAACAUAUGUUAUAAUUUUCUUGCUCAAGUCUUCCAAAAUUUGAUUAGGAGGCUAAUCAAAUCCAAAAUUUAAUAAUAGAGAGUGAACUACCACUCUAUUUAACCAGAGAUUCAACACCAGUUGAAACUUGUUAAUCCUUUAUAACCUCUAGUCUCUCAUGAUCAGAACUGAAGAAGACUUGCUUCCAUUUUCCAUCAAAUUUUCUACGUGAAAUAAAUGCAUGCCUUAGGUUAAUUUCACUUUAGCCAUCUUGGAGAGGUUCGAUAUACACAUCCAGGUUUUUUCUUUUUUUCUUUUUUUUAUCAGUCCCUUUGAGAAUCCGAGACUUAGUCAGACAGUGCCUUGUCAAUUACUGGGUCUUUGAAUUCUUUUUAAUAAUAUAUUUUUUAGUCAAAUGAUUCGAAAUUUUGUAGGCAUUACCACUUAAUUUCCUAUCUUGCAGUUUCUUUUUCAGUCUAAUGAUAAUUCAAAUUUAUGAUCCCUUUGAAAACUUGGUUUCACAAUUUAGGUAACUUUUUUGAGGAAUUUCACAAAAAAUUGCGAAAUAAACUGUAUAACAAAAAGAGAAAACCUCAAGUUCGUCAUUGUUACUGCAAUUUAUUAGUAUCAGAAAUCCAAUUACUCUUUCUCAGUUCUUAUAUAUUUUCCAUGAAGCCUUGUUCAAUUUAAAAAUACAAUUGCUAAUAAGGUAAUCAAGCUUGUAUUGUUACAUAAAAAAGUCUACAACAUUAGUUAACAAAAAAGUGUAAUUGUAAAAGAGCCAUUGGAAUGGCCUGGAAAAAUCAGGAACAAUUUCAUCAUUGGACCAUUUCCAAAGCAAAUAUAUUUAAAACUAUCAUGUUAAAUAUUUAUUGAAUGAGGAACCAAAAGUCAAAUAAAAAGAGUUUCUUUAUUCUGUUUUCUUCCAGCAAAUUCCAAUGACUUGACAAUUAUUAAUUUGAGUUAUAUUUUAUCACUCAAAGUCAAACACAUGAUUCAUUCUCUUGUAUAAAGAAAUGAAGAAAAUUGAUUCCAUUGGUUCUAUGGGAACUAUAAAUUUGGUGACUAUGAAGCAGUCUGGUGUAUGAAUUUGGUUUUAGGUUAACAUACAGUGAGAAAUAAUGUAUGUAUUAAGGAGUGUUUGUUCAAUAUCAGGAGCCUUUGUUUUUCUGCUGAUAAUCAGCUUCACCUUCAUUGCACAGAUUCCUCCAGUCAAUGCAGGUUGGUAUAUAUUUUUCCUCACACACAGAAUAUAUAAAUUGUUGUGACAGUUUAACAACAUUCCGUGAUCUUGCUUAAUCUGCAGAUCUGGUAAUGAGAAAAUUGGGUCCUAUGGCAAGUCCACCGCCUCCACCCAUUGUUGGCACGCCACGGAAGCCUCUACCACCUCGUAAUAGUCAACCUCGUCAUCCUCCAUCCAUACCCUAAGGGUUCAUGAUCUUCGCAAGUUGCAAUAUAUUACAAUAUAUUAUCACGAUGAGAGAUAUAAAUGAGUUCAAAUAGUAUGAAAUAAAUGAGAUUCUGAGGUUAUGCAAGUAUGCAACUGUGUAGUUGACAGCAGCUUAAAGGAACAAUUAAGGAUUUAUCUAUACCAAUAAUCCAUUUUCUUUUUAGUAACUAUAACGAACGAUUCAUAGUUCA